GUUGCAGGAUCUCACGGGCUUUAAACUGCGGCUCCGCGGCGCGCGGGUGCGGAUCCCCAGAUGGGAGCUGGGGAUGGGUUGGUUGCCCGGCGGGUGGCAAGUUGCCGCCUCGGGCCCCGGAGACCUUCACCCCGCCGCCUACCCAGGCGGGCCGGCCCUGCCCGUCCACCGGCGGCCGAGAGUCCCCGGCCUUGGGCCCCAGGAGCCGCUGACUGGCCUCGGUCAACUCUCGGGGAAGACUCCCGCGUCUCCAUCUGCCCCAGGAAGGGACCCGCUUCUCGCCCGCGAGGCUUCUCCAGGUGGGAUCGCCCUGGCCCCCGGCCCUAAGGGACCCGCCCCCUCCGAGCAUCCACCGCCCCUCGGAGACCACUCCAGCUCAGAGGGACCCACUCCAGCCACCGCUGCACGCGGGAGCUCUCAUCCUUCCCACCUGCUCCGUCCCUCCUCCUCCUCCUGUGGGACCACCAGAGACCCCAGCUCCCCGCUCCCCAAGUGUGGGGCCUCCGACGCGAACGCCUCUGCUCGCAAGGCGGUGAGCGCAGAUCCCACGGGGCCCUCGGUCGGGGGUCAAGGCUGCCUCCGUUUCCAUCCCGGACCCGACAAUGGGCCGGAAAAAGACUUUGCACGACUGCGCGGCGGAGUUCACCGACCUGGUGGUGUAGCAGCCCCUGACUGAGCACAGUGACUCUGGGGACACGUCUGUGGUGGAGACUCUUUCCUGCACGGCCUGCGAGCUGCCUAUGCGCGUGCCCAGGGACCGCAUCCCGGAGCACCUGUCCUCGGGCAGGCACUACAGGAACCGCAGACUCAUCCGCAGCACGGCCUGCGGACGCCCAUUCUCGUCUCGGCCGCCUCGGAUCUCACUGCCACCGGCCUUCACGCACACCCUCGCCACCAGCCUUUGGCCCGUCAGCCUCAGCCCCAGCUCAUUCCCUCAGGCAGUCCCAGCAUUGGCAUGGUACCUCCUCCCGCCGUGGGCCUCACGUCUCUGCUCCCUGUCAACCCUACUGCCAUCAGCAUCACCACAAGCGACUUGUCUGCCCAGGAGGAUGCAACACCAUCUACCUCCACCGGCCACCUUUCAGUGUUUUCUGCUUUCCAAGUAAAGACACCAGCAGUGCCCUCGGAGCGGACCAGCCAGAGAUUUUCGGAAGCCUCCCAUAGGCUCCUCCGUGGAGGAGGCCUGAGAUGGUGUCAUGACUUUGGAGCCAGGGUGGCCGACCACCUUGGCCUGGCCAUCUUUGGGGUGGGCUUUGGGAGCCCAGCACUGCUGCCAAGUGUGGUGGAUGAGAACGGCUGCUGCUUGCUGUACGUGGUGGAGCUGUGUGGCGUGGAGCGAGCCUUCAGAGCUGAGCAUUUGGCCAACACCAGAGUGGUUCGGGAACAGGAUGCCGACAUUGUCCUCAACGACCAGCGCGUCUCUGGAGUAGUUGUCUGCUCCCCGCCGGAGGCAGCUUCUGAAAUCGUGAUGCAUGCUCUCCGAGCAGAAUCUGGCGUCUCCCAAUCUCUGAUGGAGUCUCACUCUGUCCCCCAGGCUGGAGGGCAGUGGUGCGAUCUCAGCUCACUGCAACCUCCACCGCCGGGUUCAAGCAAUUCUCCUGCCUCAGCCUGUGGAGUAGCUGGAACUACAGGCACGUGCCACCACGCCAAUCAUUUUGUGUGUCUGUUAUCUG
Long non-coding RNA from Theropithecus gelada (gelada), 1673 nucleotides. The record is from Ensembl. Lineage: Eukaryota; Metazoa; Chordata; Mammalia; Primates; Cercopithecidae.